This 464-nucleotide ribosomal RNA is filed under the name uncultured bacterium. RNAcentral's name for it is "partial 16S ribosomal RNA". It matches the Rfam family "Bacterial small subunit ribosomal RNA", at positions 28 to 507 of the family's 1533-position model. The record is from RNAcentral.
GACGAACGCUGGCGGCGUGCUUAGCACAUGCAAGUCGAACGGAAAGGCCCUGCUUGCAGGGUACUCGAGUGGCGAACGGGUGAGUAACACGUGGGUGAUCUGCCCUGCACUUCGGGAUAAGCCUGGGAAACUGGGUCUAAUACCGGAUAGGAGCCAUUUUUAGUGUGAUGGUUGGAAAGUUUUUUCGGUGUAGGAUGAGCUCGCGGCCUAUCAGCUUGUUGGUGGGGUAAUGGCCUACCAAGGCGGCGACGGGUAGCCGGCCUGAGAGGGUGGACGGCCACAAUGGGACUGAGAUACGGCCCAGACUCCUACGGGAGGCAGCAGGGGGGAAUAUUGCACAAUGGGCGCAAGCCUGAUGCAGCGACGCCGCGUGGGGGAUGACGGCCUUCGGGUUGUAAACUCCUUUCGCUAGGGACGAAGCUUUUGUGACGGUACCUAGAGAAGAAGCACCGGCUAACUACGUG